CCAUCAUUUAUGUCCAACAGUUUCUCAAGCAAUGAUUGAAUUUCAAUUUCCAUAGACUUCCAUGAUCUGCUUGACCCGGCCGGUGGCGACCGAGUAUCUACAUAA
Molecule: long non-coding RNA, 105 nt
Organism: Hibiscus syriacus
Lineage: Eukaryota; Viridiplantae; Streptophyta; Magnoliopsida; Malvales; Malvaceae
Exons: 3
Source: RefSeq, a predicted model, not a curated record